AUGGGAGCGGGGAUGGUGGAGCUCGGGCCCGGGAUGGUGGAGGUGGGCGCGGCGGAGGCCGCGCAGACCGUGCCGCCGGCCAAGAGGAGGCGGGUGCUGGCCCUCAAGACCGCGGCGGCGGCGGCAGGAAGGAGGCCGCGGCGCGAGAGGAGGCCGUCCGCCAUCCAGCGCCUCUUCCAGGCCUGCCGCGCCGUCUUCCGGGGCCCCGGCACCGUGCCCGCGCCCGCCGAGGUCGCCCUGCUCCGCGCCAUGCUCGACAGAAUGAGACCAGAGGACGUCGGCCUAAGCUCAGACAUGCCCUUCUUCAGGAAUAGAGAUGCGCCGGCAACCGAAGGGACCCCGGCCAUCACACACACCACCAUAUACAAAUCUGAGAAAUUUUCCAUGGUUCUCUUCUUCUUGCCGACGAAUGCGGUCAUCCCUCUGCACAACCACCCCGGUAUGACGGUGUUCAACAAGCUACUCAUCGGAUCGAUGCACGCAAAGUCAUAUGACUGGGCUGAUCCUGAUGAUCCGCCUAAUGAGAGUGACGCUUCGUCAGCUGACGGUCAAUUGAGGCUGGCACAACUAGUCGUGGACGAUGUUUUCACGGCGCCGUGCGACACGUCGGUCUUGUUCCCGACGGCGGGAGGCAACAUGCACCGGUUCAGGGCCGUCGCGCCAUCUGCGUUCCUUGACAUCCUCGGCCCCCCUUACUCCAUCGAAGAAGACCGAGACUGCACGUACUAUACAGACAUUCCUUACUCCGAGCAUCACAUGACCAGCAAUGAGCUCAUCGGCAACGAGCAAGAAGGCCGGCGUCUCGCGUGGCUGAAAGAGGUCGAGAUGCCGAGGGAUCUGAAGAUGUGCAGCGUCCGGUACGGCGGUCCACCGAUCUCCGGCAGAUGA
RNAcentral lists this ribosomal RNA (888 nucleotides) under Triticum aestivum (bread wheat). RNAcentral describes it as "partial small subunit ribosomal RNA". Lineage: Eukaryota; Viridiplantae; Streptophyta; Magnoliopsida; Poales; Poaceae. The record is from RNAcentral.